GUGUAAGCGUCGGCGCUGCUGUAGAUCCUGGAGUGAGAAUGACAAAGCGCAGAGACCGCAGCAGGUCGUAGUUUGCAAUGCCCACAUACCUCCCUAUCGUCCAUCUUGAUGCAUAAAAUGGUGGGCAAAGGAGUAGGGCCUGACGGAUACCUAGAUUGAAAUUCUCUGUGAAUAAACCACAUAUCCGUUCAGCAAGCUCUUCUAACUCCCCCGCCCGGCAAGAUGCAUUCCAGAAAUGGUAAUUUGGUGACAGGUGGGAUAGCCUGUCACAGGUUGGGAAGAGAAGCCGUGAGACAGGAUGGAGGAGAAACAGAAGGUCUUUUAGUACGUUCGUGCAGCAGAUUUCAAGACUAAGAGAGAAAGACUGCCUCAUCCCUGCAGGAAGAAAAAA
Molecule: long non-coding RNA, 391 nt
Filed under: Callithrix jacchus (white-tufted-ear marmoset)
Lineage: Eukaryota; Metazoa; Chordata; Mammalia; Primates; Cebidae
Description: lncRNA (ENSCJAG00000069971.1)
Source: RNAcentral